Molecule: long non-coding RNA, 1146 nt
Organism: Anguilla anguilla (European eel)
Lineage: Eukaryota; Metazoa; Chordata; Actinopteri; Anguilliformes; Anguillidae
Exons: 3
Source: RefSeq, a predicted model, not a curated record
CCGCUAAAGCACUAUUAGCCUACAUUUCAGAAUCGAUUUUUGGAAGGAACGGUGGUAUCACGUGAUUUGUGCCGGCCCCACAUGAUGCGGUGUGUUCGCCUACAGUUGGGCGUGAGAAAGAAUGGUCGCUCUCUUUAAUGGAGUCGAAGUAAAGACCUCAAGACAAGCAAAGAGUAACAGCGAAUUGCAACUGAUAGGCCAAUGGCGGGAGGGACUCGCGUCAGGCCGUCUGUGAUUCAGCUGGAGAAGUGCAUAGCUGAGAGCUUCGUAAUGAACCGUAUUUACCUGAUUUGCAGGUUACGCCGAAGCAGGUCAUAAUUGGCGUACGCGAGGGACCGACGUGGCAAAGGAGAAGAAAUCAGGCUCCCCGUCUCCCGUCAUGCACGGUGUGCUGUGAAUAUUUCCUGACGGCUGACACACCUUUUCAAGUUCAUGGUGGGGGCUGUCAUCAGUCCCUCUGUUUGAACCGACAGCAACGGUUAAAACAUUAUGGGGAGCCAGUGCUUCGUCACCAUGGGAGGGGGCCAAUGAGGUGAUGGGGCCAGAGAGUGGAGGACCCUGGGAGUUCCCCUAAAUCAGCUGCUCAGGAUCUGGAAACAACGUCCAAUUUGUCCACUUAAGCACACCGUGAUUUCAAUUAAACAGGGCGGCAGAAAGGCAGCAUCGCCUGAACGCUGCAGAGGGGGGUCCAACGGGGGGUGCGCAGGCGAAGGCACAGCCUGGAGGGCUGAUUAUUAUUCUACCGUAAUGAAGCUGAGGGCUGCGGGUUCAAAUCCAGCCUGGGGCAAAGCGGAGCGGCACAGCCCAGUGGUACCAGCCUAAAACCCUGUCAGUUUAAAUCCAGCUGUACGCUCCAGUUGCAUUAUACACGAUAAUUGAAAGCUGAGAGUCUCUCUCACCGUAAGUCACUUUUACAGGAUAAAGGCUUCGCUGGAGCAUGGAAGCGAUGUAACGUAAUGCCUGACACCCGCAGCUGUUUGCAGUCGUUUAAUUUGGGAGGAGGAGUCCUUCAGCUACUGAGCCGUCUGUAAGCCUGGUUAUCACUUAAAAGCCUUUGUCAUUCACUGCAGCAUGGAAAUGUUACUUAGCUGAAAAAACGGAAUUCUCACAUUUUCAGCAAAAUGACUACCGUGCCGGUUCAGGAAA